AACUGCUAAACCCUUGUGAAUAUACCUGUAUAGUUGCUUCGGCGAGCAGCCCCAGGGCGGGGCCGCAGCCUUUUAUAGGUGCUCGCCGACAGCAGUAAAACUCUUUAUUUUACAGUUUCUCUGAGUUAUAAAUAAAAUAAGUUAAAACUUUCAACAACGGAUCUCUUGGCUUUGGCAUCGAUGAAGAACGCAGCGAAAUGCGAUAAGUAAUGUGAAUUGCAGAAUUCAGUGAAUCAUCGAAUCUUUGAACGCACAUUGCGCCCAUUAGUAUUCUAGCGGGCAUGCCUGUUCGAGCGUCAUUUCAACCCUCAGGCCUUUAGUUGUCUGGUGUUGGGGCAUCUACAGCGAUGUAGGCUCCGAAAAACAGUGGCGGUGCUCGCCAGCACUCCGGGCGCAGUAGUUUAUUUCUCGCCUAGGACGUCUGGUAGGCUACCGGCCUUAAAACCCCCUAAAUUUUAAAAGGUUGACCUCGAAUCAGGUAGGAAUACCCGCUGAACUUAAGCAUAUCAAUAAGCGGAGGAAAAGAAACCAACAGGGAUUGCCCUAGUAACGGCGAGUGAAGCGGCAACAGCUCAAAUUUGAAAUCUGGCUUAGGCCCGAGUUGUAAUUUGCAGAGGAUGCUUUUGAUGCGGCGCUUUCUGAGUUCCCUGGAACGGGACGCCAUAGAGGGUGAGAGCCCCGUAUAGUUGGACGCCAAGUCUCUGUAAAGCUCCUUCGACGAGUCGAGUAGUUUGGGAAUGCUGCUCAAAAUGGGAGGUAAAUUUCUUCUAAAGCUAAAUACCGGCCAAAGACCGAUAGCGCACAAGUAGAGUGAUCGAAAGAUGAAAAGCACUUUGAAAAGAGGGUUAAAAAGCACGUGAAAUUGUUGAAAGGGAAGCGCUUAUGACCAGACUUGUGCCUUGUGGAUAAGCCAGCGUUCUCGCUGGUGUUUCUUCUCGGCUCAGGCCAGCAUCGGUUUUCCUAGGGAGAUAAAAGCUUUAGGAACGUAGCUCUUUCGGGAGUGUUAUAGCCUAUUGCACAAUAUCUCUAGGGGGACCGAGGACCGC
This 1046-nucleotide ribosomal RNA is filed under the name Sordariomycetes sp. genotype 298. RNAcentral's name for it is "eukaryotic LSU rRNA". The stretch from base 465 to 1046 matches the Rfam family "Eukaryotic large subunit ribosomal RNA", at positions 1 to 596 of the family's 3401-position model. Lineage: Eukaryota; Fungi; Ascomycota; Sordariomycetes. The record is from RNAcentral.